AGGUGACGCUUGGUAGGGCGAGCGGCUGGCUGCAGUGUUUUGGCCGGCGCCUGGUCAGUCUUGCCCCACACACUCUGGUAGUAAGUGUUUCCGUAUUCCCGGCUGCUUCUCCCUGUACUAAGCACCGCCACACAUCACCAGAAAGCCACGAGUACGUAAGGGUGCAGAGCUUGAGAUACCACACGGAAGGGGGUGAAGGAGCGUUGGGGAUGCCUGAAGGAGGGAGAGUGAAGGAGGGAGGCUUGGAGGUGAAGGAAAUGCAGAAUAUACCUCUAAUACUGAACGCUUCUCUGCUCAGACCAUCCUUCAUUGAAUAUUUGAGCUGAGGCUUCGAGAUACGAGGUUGCAGAGGUUGGGAUACCACACGGAGAGGGGUGAAGGAGCCUUGGGGAUGCCUGAAGGAGGGGCAGUGAAGGAGGGAGGCCUGGAGGUGAAGGAAAUGCAGAAAAUUCCUUCAAUACUGAGCGCUUCUCUGGUCAGACUCCACUGAAUAUUUGGACCGAGGCUUCGAGAUACGAGAUGAGAAAUUCGCUUUUUAGUGUUUGAAGGCAGUUUUAAGUGUUUAUAGGUGUUUUUAGGCUGUUUUAAUGUUGUUUUGAGUAUUUUAGGUUUGUUGAAGGAAGGAGAAAUCUUAAAUACAGUUAUAAGGCCGAAGAAAGGCUUAAAUUGAAUGUUUUAAAGUUAGCCUAGUGUUUUUCUGUUACUUGUUUAUGCCAGGGGUGACAAUAAACAUUAAAAUUA
Long non-coding RNA from Scylla paramamosain (green mud crab), 741 nucleotides. RefSeq lists it as uncharacterized. The transcript is spliced from 3 exons. NCBI's taxonomy places the organism in Eukaryota, Metazoa, Arthropoda, Malacostraca, Decapoda, Portunidae. The record is from RefSeq and is a predicted model, not a curated record.